AAAUUUAUGUUAGGUCUUGUGAGCAGCUUAAGUGACUUGCUGGCACCUCCCUUAGGAUGCUUUUAGAUGGUGGCAUGCUUGGUCUGCGUCUCCCUUAGGACGCUUCAUUGUAGUUGUCAUGCAUCUCCCUAUGAGGUUUUUUUACAGUGACCUAUUUGGCCUACGUCUCUCUUAGGACGCUUUAUUGUAGUUGUCAUGCGUCUCAAUUAGGACGCUUUAGGGAUAGUGACCUGCUUGGCCUGCAUCUCCCUUAGGAUGCUUCAUUGUAGUUGUCAUGCAUCUCCCUUAGGACACUUUUGGACAGUGACCUGUUU
This 314-nucleotide long non-coding RNA is filed under the name Prunus persica (peach). RNAcentral describes it as "long non-coding RNA (PPER_LNC002032)". The record is from RNAcentral. Lineage: Eukaryota; Viridiplantae; Streptophyta; Magnoliopsida; Rosales; Rosaceae.